GGACUUAGUAUGUGCCUAACCAGGGUCCACCAAGCUUUUUCUUGAAAGUUCAGGCUACCUUUCUUGAUUGAUGAUUCCUCCAACACCACCAAAUACCCAUGGGGACUCUUCCUGAUCUGUAACAAUAAUCCCUACCAUCCACCAGAACUGAACAAGCUUUUCUUUUGAACCUAUUUGUUUAAACUUUACUUUCUUCAUCCCCUCUACUCGGAAUUCUAUCUCCGUGGUGUUUGCCGGUAGUAUAAACUUGGGUCCAUGAAGAAUUUGGG
Molecule: long non-coding RNA, 269 nt
Filed under: Capsicum annuum
Lineage: Eukaryota; Viridiplantae; Streptophyta; Magnoliopsida; Solanales; Solanaceae
Description: long non-coding RNA (CANN_LNC009615)
Source: RNAcentral